GACGAACGCUGGCGGCGUGCUUAACACAUGCAAGUCGAACGGAAAGGCCCUGCUUUUGUGGGGUGCUCGAGUGGCGAACGGGUGAGUAACACGUGAGUAACCUGCCCUUGACUUUGGGAUAACUUCAGGAAACUGGGGCUAAUACCGGAUAGGAGCUCCUGCUGCAUGGUGGGGGUUGGAAAGUUUCGGCGGUUGGGGAUGGACUCGCGGCUUAUCAGCUUGUUGGUGGGGUAGUGGCUUACCAAGGCUUUGACGGGUAGCCGGCCUGAGAGGGUGACCGGCCACAUUGGGACUGAGCUACGGCCCAGACUCCUACGGGAGGCAGCAGUGGGGAAUAUUGCACAAUGGGCGGAAGCCUGAUGCAGCAACGCCGCGUGCGGGAUGACGGCCUUCGGGUUGUAAACCGCUUUCGCCUGUGCCGAAGCGUGAGUGACGGUAAUGGGUAAAGAAGCACCGGCUAACUACGUG
RNAcentral lists this ribosomal RNA (468 nucleotides) under uncultured bacterium. RNAcentral describes it as "partial 16S ribosomal RNA". It matches the Rfam family "Bacterial small subunit ribosomal RNA", at positions 28 to 507 of the family's 1533-position model. The record is from RNAcentral.